UUGUUAAGCAAACGACAGCAAGAACAAUUACUACGACGAUCCCUGCUGAGCCUCGUCUGCUACCAGUUCUUGUUUAUUCAGGCUUCUUCGGGCCAACGUUUCGGGGAAGGGGGUCAUUUCAUUCUUGCCUCCAUCUUUCUUUUAAAUUAACACUAAUCAGGCCAGGCGAGACAAACCCAACACUCAGCCCACACACACUACCGCAAAGGUCAUUUCAUGGAGUUCAAAGCUAAAUCUUACAUCUCAAAGAACCCAUAUGUUUGGGAAUUUUUUUUUACCCCCUGAGAAAGAAGUCGACGCCGUUUAACUCGUCAUUACUCUUCGCCGGCACAUGUGAGCGCCGUCACUCGACAGACACGCCGCAAUCCUAAACUCGCCAGUCUGGCUCUGUGUGGCGGUUUGGGCCGCAUUACACUCCUAUUAGUGGCACACGGGGCAUGAGUGAACCCAAACAAGAGGGCAAGCAGAGGGCUUCAAGAGAGAAAGGAGGGAAGAGAGGGACCCCGUUUGAAACUCGCCGGGAAAUGUGUUUCCAAUUAGCAGUAACAAUUACACUAGAUGGGCCAAAGUAUUGGGGGCCCGACUUUUCCAGCCAUAUUUCAGGACUCUUACCACAAAGUUGGAGGCACGCAAUUGAAUGUGCAAGCAUUGAAUAUGUCCUUCACUUGAACUAGG
Silurus meridionalis is the source of this 675-nucleotide long non-coding RNA. RefSeq lists it as uncharacterized. Lineage: Eukaryota; Metazoa; Chordata; Actinopteri; Siluriformes; Siluridae. The record is from RefSeq and is a predicted model, not a curated record. The transcript has 3 exons.